RNAcentral lists this unclassified non-coding RNA (788 nucleotides) under Hevea brasiliensis (rubber tree). The record is from RNAcentral. Lineage: Eukaryota; Viridiplantae; Streptophyta; Magnoliopsida; Malpighiales; Euphorbiaceae.
CUUUGUUUUGUAGCUUCCCUCUUAAAUGGGUAUGUGUAAGUAAGUAAGCAAAAAUCUCUCUGCAUAUCUCUCUCCAUAUCUCUGUCUCUCCACACGUCUUUCCUUUUAUCUCUCUCUGUCUCUGUGUCUGUGGAUUGAAGAGUAAUGGAUUCUGGUAAUAGUGGAAGUAUGCAAUCUUCAAGUGGUGGAGAUGAGGAGUAUGAUUCACGCGCAGAGUCAAUCUCAGCUUUCUUGAACAACAAUAACAACCCAUUAAGCCAUGUUGGUCCCAUGCCUAACCCACCACCACCACAGCCACCACCACCACCACCAGACCACCACCACCACCAAACCCAUCACCCCUCUUCAUCAUCCAUGUUUAACCUCUUAUCAAACUACUUUGAUCCUUUAUCCUCAUCAAGAUCGCCGCCGCCGCUCACAAACCCAAAUUCAUUCCUCAAUCUUGAUAUGGUCUGGUCCAAAAACUUAAGAUCUGAGACGAAUUGCACUGAUCUUGGUGGUUUCGUAACCCCAUCCUCACCAACCCAACAAUUUUUCACCAACCAACCACAAAGUAGAACCACUUUUCCUUCAGUACAAAUCCCCCAGGGACCAGAAAUUGUUGCAAGAGGUUCGGGUUCAGCUUCAGCUUCGGGUUCGAAUGAUCAGACCAACAACAACACCACCACCACCCCCACCAAUAAUAUUGUUCGUAAUCCUAAGAAGAGAUCCAGAGCUUCGAGGCGUGCACCAACCACUGUUUUGACCACAGACACCACUAAUUUCCGAGCCAUGGUUCAGGAGUUCAC